GGAGGGACUGUGGGACUGAUGUCUCAGCUCCUCCAGGAUCCCAGCAGGAACGCCUUUUUUUCUGACAGUUGCAGGAGCAGCAGGAUUGAGCUCAAAGUUGUUGCUGUAAUUGCACCUGGUUGCGUCAUGAAAAAGUAAUUUGCUGUCAAGGACGUCAGGGUGUCAGCGUUCGGCAGGAGUUGAUAAGGUGUGUUAACGCGACACCAGGACAGUGACGAGCUUGAAGAAGCAACAUUCAUCUGGAGAACAGUUAAAGGUCAUUUACAAACAAUUUGGAGACUCUUCUUCCACUUAAAGAACACUGAAGACAGCUGCCAGUCUGGGAGUGGACAUUCAAGCAGAUUCACCCGGAAGGUCAGACUGUACUCGGAAAAAAGAGCUCCAGCUCAGACUCUGCGGGCCUCAGCUAACAGAUCACACUUCAUAACAGGACACUUGGAUGAAGACUGGACAGCCUCGUGUAGCGGCCCCCAGGAGGGCCGGUCUCCGAGCGACCGCGCCGUCAACCUUCUCGACCCACCGGUCCAGACAUAAGUGGGCUCUCUGAGGACCGACGCCAUGUGUCGGCUGUGGAGUCCAGGUGGCCGGGGGGUCAAGUGUUUGUGCGUACCUGGGCGACAUUGA
Austrofundulus limnaeus is the source of this 624-nucleotide long non-coding RNA. RefSeq lists it as uncharacterized. The record is from RefSeq and is a predicted model, not a curated record. The transcript has 4 exons. NCBI's taxonomy places the organism in Eukaryota, Metazoa, Chordata, Actinopteri, Cyprinodontiformes, Rivulidae.